This 440-nucleotide ribosomal RNA is filed under the name uncultured bacterium. RNAcentral's name for it is "partial 16S ribosomal RNA". It matches the Rfam family "Bacterial small subunit ribosomal RNA", at positions 338 to 795 of the family's 1533-position model. The record is from RNAcentral.
CCUACGGGUGGCUGCAGUAGGGAAUAUUGCUCAAUGGGGGAAACCCUGAAGCAGCAACGCCGCGUGCAGGAUGAAGGUUUUCGGAUUGUAAACUCCUUUUGUUAGAGAAGAUAAUGACGGUAUCUAACGAAUAAGCAACGGCUAACUCCGUGCCAGCAGCCGCGGUAAUACGGAGGGUGCAAGCGUUACUCGGAAUAACUGGGCGUAAAGGGCGCGUAGGCGGGAUAGCAAGUCUGAUGUGAAAUGCUAUGGCUUACCCAUAGAACUGCAUUUGAAACUGGUAUGCUUGAGUAUGGGAGAGGUAGGUGGAAUUCUUGGUGUAGGGGUAAAAUGCGUAGAGAUCAAGAGGAACACCUAUUGCGAAGGCGACCUGCUAGAGCAUAACUGACGCGGAUGCGCGAAAGCGUGGGGAUCAAACAGGAUUAGAUACCCGAGUAGUC